CCUACGGGUGGCUGCAGUGAGGAAUAUUGGUCAAUGGACGAGAGUCUGAACCAGCCAAGUAGCGUGAAGGAUGACUGCCCUAUGGGUUGUAAACUUCUUUUAUAUGGGAAUAAAAUGUGCCACGUGUGGGAUUUUGUAUGUACCAUAUGAAUAAGGAUCGGCUAACUCCGUGCCAGCAGCCGCGGUACUACGGAGGAUCCGAGCGUUAUCCGGACUUAUUGGGUUUAAAGGGAGCGUAGGUGGAUUGUUAAGUCAGUUGUGAAAGUUUGCGGCACAACCGUAAAAUUGCAGUUGAAACUGGCAGUCUAGAGUACAGUAGAGGUAGGCGGAAUUCGUGGUGUAGCGGUGAAAUGCUUAGAUAUCACGAAGAACUCCGAUGGCGAAGGCAGUUCACUGGACUGCAACUGACACUGAGGCUCGAAAGUGUGGGUAUCAAACAGGAUUAGAUACCCGAGUAGUC
This 460-nucleotide ribosomal RNA is filed under the name uncultured bacterium. RNAcentral describes it as "partial 16S ribosomal RNA". It matches the Rfam family "Bacterial small subunit ribosomal RNA", at positions 338 to 795 of the family's 1533-position model. The record is from RNAcentral.